UGGACAAGGUGGAUAAUAAUUCAUCCUCAUUGUUUGAACUCCUUCGCCAUAUAACUCUUUGAUUUCUGUGGUGUCAAUUGUUAGAGCAUUGGCCAUAAGAUCAAGUAUCUGGAUUGCAAGGUUUUUCAAUUCUGUAGACAACUCCUAUGAGAGUAAAAACAAAUUUUGUCAGGACAAUGAGCAGGGGAUGUGAGACAGAGAGGAACAGAACCUGAAUGGUAAGGGGAGGCAGGGCAACAAGCAGAGGCGGAGCCACAGGGGUGACUUCCCCCUGCUUAGUCACCCCUGGCUUUUUAGAGUUUGUCCCAUGGUUUUUUAUCCCUUUCUCCUUUGUAUACUCGUUUUUCUUUUUCCUUCUGUUAAGGGUUGGCACUGCCUCUUUUCUCUAUGAAUGGCAAACACACCCUUCAAUCUACCUUUCCCUGUUGUAAUUGCGCUGGUUUUGGGUCCACUGCUAGCACUUUCGUGGAUUAAGCUUGCCUCCUUGGCUGAAUCAUUUAUUGUAGGGUGCUUUUAUUUGUUCCUGCCAGUGUCUUUCUGUUUGAAGGCUGCAAUUUUUCUUCUUUAUGGAAACUAGAAUUGACUAAUUUUGUAAUUCCUCUGUGAAUUGCUUUUGGGACAUCUAUGUUCUUACUUCUUUUUUUC
Lotus japonicus is the source of this 645-nucleotide long non-coding RNA. RefSeq lists it as uncharacterized. The transcript is spliced from 2 exons. Lineage: Eukaryota; Viridiplantae; Streptophyta; Magnoliopsida; Fabales; Fabaceae. The record is from RefSeq and is a predicted model, not a curated record.